GAUGAACGCUGGCGGCGUGCCUAAUACAUGCAAGUCGAGCGAACGGACGAGAAGCUUGCCUCUCUGAUGUUAUCGGCGGACGGGUGAGUAACACGUGGAUAACCUACCUAUAAGACUGGGAUAACUUCGGGAAACCGGAGCUAAUACCGGAUAAUAUUUUGAACCGCAUGGUUCAAAAGUGAAAGACGGUCUUGCUGUCACUUAUAGAUGGAUCCGCGCUGCAUUAGCUAGUUGGUAAGGUAACGGCUUACCAAGGCAACGAUGCAUAGCCGACCUGAGAGGGUGAUCGGCCACACUGGAACUGAGACACGGUCCAGACUCCUACGGGAGGCAGCAGUAGGGAAUCUUCCGCAAUGGGCGAAAGCCUGACGGAGCAACGCCGCGUGAGUGAUGAAGGUCUUCGGAUCGUAAAACUCUGUUAUUAGGGAAGAACAUAUGUGUAAGUAACUGCGCACAUCUUGACGGUACCUAAUCAGAAAGCCACGGCUAACUACGUG
This 497-nucleotide ribosomal RNA is filed under the name uncultured bacterium. RNAcentral describes it as "partial 16S ribosomal RNA". It matches the Rfam family "Bacterial small subunit ribosomal RNA", at positions 28 to 507 of the family's 1533-position model. The record is from RNAcentral.